UACGUAGGGGGCAAGCGUUGUCCGGAAUCAUUGGGCGUAAAGAGCGUGUAGGCGGCCCGAUAAGUCCGCUGUGAAAGUCCAGGGCUCAACCCUGGGAUGCCGGUGGAUACUGUCGGGCUCGAGUCCGGAAGAGGAGUGUGGAAUUCCUGGUGUAGCGGUGAAAUGCGCAGAUAUCAGGAGGAACACCAAUGGCGAAGGCAGCACUCUGGGACGUGACUGACGCUGAGAAGCGAAAGCAUGGGGAGCGAACAGG
RNAcentral lists this ribosomal RNA (253 nucleotides) under uncultured bacterium. RNAcentral's name for it is "partial 16S ribosomal RNA". It matches the Rfam family "Bacterial small subunit ribosomal RNA", at positions 524 to 776 of the family's 1533-position model. The record is from RNAcentral.